ACGGGUGCGGAACACGUACGCAACCUUCCUUUAAGUGAGGGAUAGCUUUCGGAAACGAAAAUUAAUACCUCGUAAGAUUGUGAGAUGGCAUCAUCUUAUAAUUAUAGCUCCGGCGCUUAAAGAUGGGCGUGCGCCUGAUUAGGUAGUUGGCGGAGUAACAGCCCACCAAGCCUACGAUCAGUAACUGGUGUGAGAGCACGACCAGUCACACGGGCACUGAGACACGGGCCCGACUCCUACGGGAGGCAGCAGUAAGGAAUAUUGGUCAAUGGACGCAAGUCUGAACCAGCCAUGCCGCGUGGAGGAUGAAGGUCCUCUGGAUUGUAAACUUCUUUUAUCGGAGAAGAAACCCCGGAAUUCUUUCUGGGUUGACGGUACCCGAUGAAUAAGCACCGGCUAACUCCGUGCCAGCAGCCGCGGUAAUACGGAGGGUGCAAGCGUUAUCCGGAUUCACUGGGUUUAAAGGGUGCGUAGGUGGGUUGGUAAGUCAGUGGUGAAAUCUCCAAGCUUAACUUGGAAACUGCCGUUGAUACUAUCAAUCUUGAAUCUCGUGGAGGUAAGCGGAAUAUGUCAUGUAGCGG
This 581-nucleotide ribosomal RNA is filed under the name Chitinophagaceae bacterium TDB-228. Its description in RNAcentral is "bacterial SSU rRNA". It matches the Rfam family "Bacterial small subunit ribosomal RNA", at positions 102 to 681 of the family's 1533-position model. Lineage: Bacteria; Pseudomonadati; Bacteroidota; Chitinophagia; Chitinophagales; Chitinophagaceae. The record is from RNAcentral.